Spinacia oleracea (spinach) is the source of this 2627-nucleotide long non-coding RNA. RefSeq lists it as uncharacterized. The record is from RefSeq and is a predicted model, not a curated record. NCBI's taxonomy places the organism in Eukaryota, Viridiplantae, Streptophyta, Magnoliopsida, Caryophyllales, Amaranthaceae. The transcript has 5 exons.
ACUAAAAAAUUAAAUCAAAAUCAAAAUCAAAUUUGUGAUUUUUAGAAACAAAACCUCAAAACAGUGAUAUUGAACAUACCCCUUAUUAACCGUUACUAAAAAAUAAUUCUCAAAUUUGAGUACCCGAAAAGAAAAGACCGUUACAAAAAAAAAAAAAAAAAGAAAGAAAAAAAAGAAAAGAGACAGCUGUAAACCUUCAUUGCUCCAACUCACUGCCUAGUGUCUACCGCGUAAAAUUAACCGCCAUAAAAUAAAACACUCCUCGUCGCCGUCAUCGGUGAUAAUUCCGACCCAUCCGUCUUUCUCUUUUCUCUCCAAAAUUCCAAAUCCCCCCUGCAUAAAACUAACAAUCCGAUCAAAACCCUAACCCUAAACUUAAGAUGAUGUUUAUGCUUUUGUCUGUUCGUCUUAAUUCUCCCCCCGAUUUCAUGAAACUUCGAUCAAAAUCUUCACGUUGCGGAGUAAUUUUGUCUUUCAAACGUCAAUUAGUCCUCGAAACAGUGUCAAUUAGUAUUUGAGACGGGAAUUCUAGGGUUUCAGAGGUGAUUCCGGUAUUCACUUGUUUCAGGCAACGAAACAGUGCCGGUUAAUCUCUGAGACAGUAAUGCUAGGGUUUCAUCGGAAUUGAUCCGGCACAUUACCCUCUGUAUGGCUUCGAAGUAGAAGAAGUAUACACCAAAGUUCAGUCUUCCCACGGUGUAAGCAUUUACUGAGCUUGUUAAGGGACAAUGGAUGCAAAGAGGUUAAACAUUGCUUCUUUUUCGCAAUCCUGUGUCAUUACUCUCUGCUGCUCAUUAAAAGAGGUCCUCUAAGCGUCAAGGAACUGAUUUAGCAGAUAGCUCAAGAAUCCCUUUUUCCACCAGAUGGCUGAGCAAUUGCAGCAAACCCUUCAGGACAUCUGCUGUUGUGGAACCACAAUUUGAUCCUCAGCAGUAAUCUUCCACUAUGCUGCAAGCCAACACGUGAUAAAGAAUCCUUAGUUUAUGAACGUCUUAGUAGUGCUUCGAGGCAGGGGUAAGGUUGCUUCGUUCGACCCCCCCUUACCCCGCUUCUUGCGGGAGCCUCUUUGAGGCAAUGGGGUAAUGAUAAUGAUAAUGAUUGACAACAUAGUGUGGUAGGCUGAAAGAAAGUUCUAGUGAACAGCGUUAUUUUCUGCAUAUAUUGCAACAAUAUUUCGCAGCACAUCUAAUGGCAUGCUUACCUUCAGGAUUCACUUGGUGGAAACAGCAGGACCGUUAUGAUUGGUAAUUAAUUUUUUCUCCAAAUUAAUCUUGAUUAUGAGAAAUUUUGUUAUCUUGUCUUGUUAAAUUCUCUGCAUUUAUUUCUCUAUGCUAUGCUGUGCUGAUUUUCUGAACUGAAAGCUUAUGCUUGAUUUUUGUUGUAUAAUAUCUUAUUCGUACUAGUUAACAUCAACUCUUCAACUUGAGUUUCACCAUAUAGAUUUUCAUGUGGCCUUUCAUACCUUAGCUUUUUGUGGUUGUAAAGUUUUGGUACCCCCUGAAAGUUAGCACAUGGAUCUUAGGAAUUUGGCAGUUGUUUGGAGGUUAUUUGGUUAUUUGUCAGUUAGAGGAUUGUGUUUCUUUCGCAGGUUGGAUACUUAGCCCAUUGUUGUUAUGCAACUUUCUUUUGAGGGAAGUUUGCUGUGACGUAUUUCACUAGUGACUUAUUUUCCAUUGCAAGCUGUUCAGUUUUCAGGUGCUACUUUUAUGCCGUAUUUACUUGUUGGCAUUCAUGAAUCACGACUUGUUAUCCCUGUGCCACUUGUCAUCAACCACUUAUAGAACUGUUGGUUUUUCUAACUUCCUACAGAAAUCAUCAUUAGGUAACUUGUAGGACGUAUUAGUUGAUUCAGAAGAUACUCCCUGAUGUACAGCAUCCACAUGAAAAUUAUGAGAACUCGUUAAACCUUUUAUUUUUUAGCUUUUCCUUGUCCCCAUUCUGUUGUUUAAAACUUCAAAUGUAUUCUUCUAAGCCCAAUUCCAGUGCCAUUUAUGUCAGAUAUCAGUUUUCCAGUUUGCAUCAAUGCUGAAGAAACGCUUAACACUGAAGUAUGCAAAUCGUGCCUGCAAUAUUCAAAAUAUGCCAGUGGUAAGAAUGAUGUACCCCUUGUACAGGAGUACACGAUUUCCUUUUCUUUAUUUUCUCCCGCUCUUUUCAUAUUAUAUGUACUUUUAGUUUUAUGGUCCAAUAGGAGUACACCUUAUGUCAAAGUUUUACAUAUUGUUUGGAAUAGAUAAAUAGAGAUCCAAUAUCCAAUGAGAUGAUUAAAAUGCGACAGCAGCUUGAGUAUUUACAAGCAGAACUUCGUGCACGAGGCGGGCGAACAUCUUCAGAUGAUGUACAAGUAUUGUAAUUGUGAAGUUCUUUAGGUUUCCUCUGCUUGGUUGCAAGCAUGAUUCUUGUCUAUUAAAUUACGGAGUACAUUAUACGACAUAAACUUGUAGGCCAUGAGGGCAAUACAAUAGUGGAUUUAAUGUUAGUGAUCAGGGUGAUACUUUGGGUCAGGUAGGUCAUCAGAUGUCAAUUUAGUUGUCUAAAUUCUGAUUUUUUUCCCAUAACAUUGGUCCUUGUGCAUGGAAUUCGUUUAUACAUCGAUUUCUAGCAAUAUAAUGUAUUUGUUUCCAAAA